AACGAACGCUGGCGGCAGGCUUAACACAUGCAAGUCGAACGCACCUUUCGGGGUGAGUGGCAGACGGGUGAGUAACGCGUGGGAAUCUACCCUUCUCUACGGGAUAGCUCCGGGAAACUGGAAUUAAUACCGUAUACGUCCUGAGGGAGAAAGAUUUAUCGGGGAAGGAUGAGCCCGCGUUGGAUUAGCUAGUUGGUGGGGUAAAGGCCUACCAAGGCGACGAUCCAUAGCUGGUCUAAGAGGAUGAUCAGCCACAUUGGGACUGAGACACGGCCCAAACUCCUACGGGAGGCAGCAGUGGGGAAUAUUGGAAAAUGGGCGCAAGCCUGAUCCAGCCAUGCCGCGUGAGUGAUGAAGGCCCUAGGGUUGUAAAGCUCUUUCAGUGGGGACGAUAAUGACGGUACCCACAGAAGAAGCCCCGGCUAACUUCGUG
RNAcentral lists this ribosomal RNA (433 nucleotides) under uncultured bacterium. RNAcentral's name for it is "partial 16S ribosomal RNA". It matches the Rfam family "Bacterial small subunit ribosomal RNA", at positions 29 to 507 of the family's 1533-position model. The record is from RNAcentral.